Caenorhabditis brenneri is the source of this 63-nucleotide non-coding RNA. The record is from Rfam. NCBI's taxonomy places the organism in Eukaryota, Metazoa, Nematoda, Chromadorea, Rhabditida, Rhabditidae.
AGCUGGUUUAUCUUUGUUGAUGAUUUCAAACAUAGUAUUCAUCAACGGGAGUAAACCAGCUCU